AAGCUCGUAGCUCAGCUGGCAGAGUGUGCGCGUAUAAAGCAUUGGCGGCGUAUAUUCGUGGGUUUGAAUCCCACCGAGGCUG
Molecule: transfer RNA, 82 nt
Filed under: Echinostoma caproni
Lineage: Eukaryota; Metazoa; Platyhelminthes; Trematoda; Plagiorchiida; Echinostomatidae
Rfam family: tRNA
About the family: Transfer RNA (tRNA) molecules are approximately 80 nucleotides in length. Their secondary structure includes four short double-helical elements and three loops (D, anti-codon, and T loops).
Source: Rfam by way of RNAcentral